RNAcentral lists this ribosomal RNA (253 nucleotides) under uncultured bacterium. RNAcentral describes it as "partial 16S ribosomal RNA". It matches the Rfam family "Bacterial small subunit ribosomal RNA", at positions 524 to 776 of the family's 1533-position model. The record is from RNAcentral.
UACGUAGGGGGCGAGCAUUGUUCGGAAUUACUGGGCGUAAAGAGCGCGUAGGCGGUCAAAUAAGUCAGGCGUGAAAUCCCUCGGCUCAACCGAGGCUUGGCGCUUGAAACUAUUUGACUUGAGUUUAGGAGAGGAGAUCGGAAUUCCCAGUGUAGCGGUGAAAUGCGUAGAUAUUGGGAGGAACACCGGUGGCGAAGGCGGCUCUCUGGAUUAAUACUGACGCUGAGGCGCGAAAGCUAGGGGAGCAAACGGG